UCCUUCCAAGAGGAAGGGGGUGGUGGUGGGCAUAGAUUGUUAGAUAGAUGUCUUGUCUGUGGCAGUUAUUUACAUUGUAGGUAAUGGAACCACAACAGACAGAAGCGCAAUGGUGAAUAUUUCUCUGAAGAACACAGGAGAACACUUUGUUUAUUGCUGGAGAUUAUCCAGUAGAGCUCUGUUAGUCUUGUUUUUGUCUUUUGCAGAUUAGACUGGGGCAUGUGGAGAAAUGGGAAUCCCACCUCAGCAAAGACUACAAACUGAUGGUCUGGUUAGGUCUUUUUUGUAUUAAUGGAUGGAUAGAAUAAUGAAUGGAUUGAUUGCUGGAUGGCUGGUCAGAUGGUAAAUAGAUGUCCUUCCAAGAGGAAGGGGGUGGAGGUGGGCAUAGAUUGUUAGAUAGAUGUCUUCUUUUUGGCUGUUGUUUAAAUUGUAGUCAAGAAACACACAACAGGUGGAAAAGAGAAACUCACAAGAGCAUCAGGAGCAGGAGACUCACCAGGGGUGUCGCUAGACCCCAUUAAGGGGGCACAUGCCCCAGUAAAUGGGGCAAUGUAGUAAAUAAAGCAAUGUAGUUUAAUUGAAAACAAACUUAGGCAUCUGUGCAGAAAAUUAUUCUUGAGCGCCUCACGCACCACCGAUUCUGCUCCUGGAAUAAAUCCCGGUUGUUUAACACGCACGCUGAAAAUAAUAUGCGCUAUUCAUACAUUGUGAAACCGACGUAACGGCCUUUAAUGCAGUGAGGUCGGCACUCAGUAAGUUUUGCAAGUCGGCAGAACAAAUGUUAAAGUAAUAUGAUGAUCAUAUUUUGACUUAACAUGGCUCCUGUAAGAUGAUUUUCUAUAUGAAGCAUAAAGGAGAGACGAUGAGUCAGGGAAGUAAGGCUUGAUAACAUUAUUUCUCUGCCAUCAGAGUCAGGUCUCAGACAGAAGAUUAUUCUGUACAUGUUUGAUUUGUGUUAUCUAGAACUCUCAUGUUAUUAAAAUUCACACAAAAUAUUUGUUUAGAUAAUCUUAUAUCACUAUAGUUGUCUUUAUAUUGGAGUUCCCCAGUAGAUCUUUAUGUCUAGCAACACCCCUGAGACUAGACUGAGACACUGAGACUGAGACCCUGAGACAAGGGGAACAGUGGUGGAGAUAUACUGGAAGACCUGGAGCUCAGGAAGCAGAUUGGCAAGGAGCAUGUGGAGGAACAGGGAAACAGACCUCAGUAAUGACAAGUGCAUCAUUAUAAAUGAGAGUGGAGUGAAUAAACUAGGCAUUGCAGGAGCUCAGCCAGUAGGUUGGGCUCUGUUGGUGCUGUCCUUGACUUUUGCAGAUUGGAGUGGAGCAGAAGAGGGAGACUAAAAAGCGGAGUGAUUAAAAUGGGGCAUUUGGAGAAAUGGGAAUCACACCACAGCAAUGACUGCAACAAAGCAAACUGAUGGUCUGGUUAGAUGUUUCCUAAAUAGAUGAAUGAAUGACAAAUAGAUGUCCUUCCAAGAGGAAUGGGCUGGUGGUGGGCUUAGAUAGUUAUCUAGAUGCCUUGUCUGUGGCAGGUGUUUCUUUUUCAAGUAUUGAACACACAACAGGCAAAAGAAGGAAACACAAGAGCAUCAGUGGAGAUUUAUCUGAAGAACAUUGGAGAACAUCUUGUGCAUUGCUGGAGUUCAGCAAGCAUGUAGAGUUCUGUUGGUUGUGUCUUUAGGCUCUAUUUUGACGGUCCAUGCGCAGAGCACAAAACGCUUUCAGGGCGUGUCAGAAUGCAUUUUU
Danio rerio (zebrafish) is the source of this 1748-nucleotide non-coding RNA. The record is from RefSeq and is a predicted model, not a curated record. Lineage: Eukaryota; Metazoa; Chordata; Actinopteri; Cypriniformes; Danionidae.